Molecule: ribosomal RNA, 437 nt
Filed under: uncultured bacterium
Lineage: Bacteria
Description: bacterial SSU rRNA
Rfam family: Bacterial small subunit ribosomal RNA
Source: RNAcentral
CAGUUUCGAAUCAUUCACAAUGGGCGAAAGCCUGAUGGUGCGACGCCGCGUGAGGGAUGAAGGCCUUCGGGUUGUAAACCUCUGUCACCGGGGAAGAAACGCUUCAAGUUAACAGCUUGAAGCCUGACUUAACCCGGAGAGGAAGCAGUGGCUAACUCUGUGCCAGCAGCCGCGGUAAUACAGAGACUGCAAGCGUUAUUCGGAUUCACUGGGCGUAAAGGGUGCGCAGGCGGCCGUGUGUGUGAGGCGUGAAAGCCUGGAGCUUAACUCCAGAAUUGCACCUCAAACUACAUGGCUAGAGCAUUGGAGAGGGUAGCAGAAUUCAUGGUGUAGCAGUGAAAUGCGUAGAUAUCAUGAGGAAUACCAGAGGCGAAGGCGGCUACCUGGACAAUUGCUGACGCUCAGGCACGAAAGCGUGGGGAGCAAAAGGGAUUAGA